Molecule: ribosomal RNA, 169 nt
Filed under: Apiomerus lanipes
Lineage: Eukaryota; Metazoa; Arthropoda; Insecta; Hemiptera; Reduviidae
Description: partial 28S ribosomal RNA
Rfam family: Eukaryotic large subunit ribosomal RNA
Source: RNAcentral
GCUUGCGCUUAGAUAAAGAAUCUCAUCCGGUAGAGCGAAUGAUUAGAGGCAUUGGGGUCGAAACGACCUCAACCUAUUCUCAAACUCCAAAUAGAUGAGAUCCCCGGCUUUCUUAAAAUUGAAGCCGUGGGAAUGAUCAGAUGCCUGGUAAGCAGAACUGGCGCUGUGG